This 234-nucleotide ribosomal RNA is filed under the name Prionace glauca (blue shark). RNAcentral describes it as "partial 16S ribosomal RNA". The record is from RNAcentral. Lineage: Eukaryota; Metazoa; Chordata; Chondrichthyes; Carcharhiniformes; Carcharhinidae.
UAUGGAGCUUCAAACACUUAAAUUAAUUAUGUAACCAUCCAUUUCCCAGGAAAUAAACAAAAUAUACAACACUUCUAAUUUAACUGUUUUUGGUUGGGGUGACCAAGGGGAAAAACAAAUCCCCCUCAUCGAUUGAGUACUAAGUACUUAAAAAUUAGAAUGACAAUUCUAAUUAAUAAAACAUUUACCGAAAAAUGAUCCAGGAUUUCCUGAUCAAUGAACCAAGUUACCCUA